AAAGAGACAAGAGUCACCUUAAGGAGUUGACUAAAUGAAAGUAAAAGAUAGAAUAACAUUUUGAGGGUUUAAAUCUAUGCCAGGACUUUUGAGUGGUAGCAUAUUGUGAGUAGGAAGGCAGUACUUCAAAAAUGAGUUCCCAUGAGAAAAGAGAGAAUGAAGACGCUAUGUCUAAAAUAAGAUGUUCUCCUGGAUCAAACUGUGCAUCUUUGUGGGAUAAUUACAUUUGUGACCUGCCCCAUGAAAUAAAUGAAGCAACAGAGACUUCCAGUGACUCCAGCAGGAAUAAAACACUGAGAUUAGAAUUUCCAGACCUCAGCGGUGUGUCUAUGAAAAGUACACAAUCCAUGUUUAAUCAUCCUUCAAUCAGUGAUGGAACAGUGACUUCUGCCCAACACAUUGUUAAGAUAGAUAAAACAAUUACAUCCCACAAUCAGACCCAAAUCAGGCAGGAAAGACCCGAAGAAGUCCUGCAUAGGGCUAGAG
Molecule: long non-coding RNA, 486 nt
Organism: Cyprinus carpio (common carp)
Lineage: Eukaryota; Metazoa; Chordata; Actinopteri; Cypriniformes; Cyprinidae
Exons: 4
Source: RefSeq, a predicted model, not a curated record